This 3755-nucleotide long non-coding RNA is filed under the name Homo sapiens (human). RNAcentral describes it as "HSALNT0323937". The record is from RNAcentral. Lineage: Eukaryota; Metazoa; Chordata; Mammalia; Primates; Hominidae.
CUCCGUGUGAGCAACAUGGCUGUUUAUUUCACCUGGGUGCAGGUGGGCUGAGUCCGAAAAGAGAGUCAGCGAAGGGAGAUAGGGGUGGGGCCGUUUUAUAGGAUUUGGGAAGGUAAUGGAAAAUUAGUCAAAGGGGGUUGUUCUCUGGUGGGCAGGGGUGGGGGGUCACAAGGUGCUCAGUGGGGGAGCUUCUGAGCCAGGAGAAGGAAAUUCGCAGGGUUAAUCACUCAGUUAAGGUGGGGCAGGAACAAAUCACAAUAGUGGAAUGUCAUCAGUUAAGGCGGGGCAGGGCCUUUUCACUUCUUUUGUGAUUCUUCAGUUACUUCAGGCCAUCUGGGCGUAUACGUGCAAGUCACAGGGGAUGCGAUGGCUUGGCUUGGGCUCAGAGGCCUGACAUUCCUGCCUUCUUAUAUUAAUAAGAAAAAUAAAACAAAAUAGUGUUGAAGUGUUGAGGCGGCAAAAAUUUUUGGGGGUGUUAUGGAGAGAGAAUGGGUGAUGUUUCUCAGAGCUGCUUCAAGUGGGAUUAGGGGCGGCGUGGGAACCUAGAGUGGGAGAGAUUAAGCUGAAGGGAGGUCUUGUGGUAAGGGGUGAUAUUGUGGGGAUGUAAGAAGAAACAUUUGUCAUAUAGAAUGAUUGGUGAUGGCCUGGAUACGGUUUUGUAUGAAUUGAAAAACUAAAUGGAAUAUGAGAAGGCGAAAAACAGGUAUAAAAGGACUAAGAAUUGGGAGGACCUAGGCCAUCUAAUUAGAGAGUGCCUAAGGAGAUUCAGCAUAGUCCUGCCGGCAAAGAUUAUUUAUUUACUUCAAGAGUUUAGAGUGGCAGUUUGGGGAUAGCACUAGGAGAUAUCACCUGUGAUGUCUUGGAGAAAGAGUGUAAACCGGCAGUGUAAACAAGAGCAGGGCAUGUGUGAGUAGUUGAGAACAGUGAAUAGGAGUAUGACUAACAGAUGAGGAUGAAAUUUGGGCUUGACUGAAGUAAUGGGGGCUGUCUGUGAAGCCUUGCAGCAGUACAGCCCAGGUAAUUUGCUGAGCCUAAUGGGUGUCAGGGUCAGUCUAAGUGAAGGCAAAGAGAGGCUGGGAUGAAGGGUGCAAGGAAUAGUAAAGAAAGCAUGUUUGAGAUCCAGAACAGAAUAAUGGGUAGUAGAGGGAGGUAUUGAGGAUAGGAGAGUCUAUGGGUUUGGCACCACGGGGUGGAUAGGCAAAACAAUUUGGUUGAUAAGGCGCAGAUUCUGAACUAACUUGUAAGGCUUGUCUGGUUUUAGGACAGGUAAAAUGGGGGAAUGGUAAGGAGAGUUUAUAAGCUUUAAAAGGCCACGCUGUAGCAGGCGAGUGAUAACAGGUUUUAAUCUUUUUAAAGCGUGCUGUGGGAUGGGAUAUUGGCGUUGAGCGGGGUAAGGGUGAUUAGGUUUUAAUGGGAUGGUAAGGGGCAUGUGAUCGGUUGCCAGGGAAGGAGUAGAGAUGUCCCAUACUUGCGGGUUAAGGUGGGGGGAUAUGAGAGGAAGACGCGAAGGAGGCUUUGGGUUGGGGAGAAGGGCGGCAAUGAGAUGUGGCUGUAGUCCAGGAAUAGUCAGGGAAGCAGAUAACUUAGUUAAAGUGUCUCAGCCUAAUAAGGGAACUGGGCAGGUGGGGAUAACGAAAAAGGAGUGCUUAAAAGAGUAUUGUCUAAGUUGGCACCAGAGUUGGGGAGUUUUAAGAGGUUUAGAAGCCUGGCUGUUAAUACCCACAACAGUUAUGGAGGCAAGGGAAACAGGCCCUUGAAAAGAAGGUAAUGUGGAGUGGGUAGCCUCCGUAUUGAUUAAGAAGGGGACGGGCUUACCUUCCACUGUGAGAGUUACCCGAAGCUCGGCGUCCAUGAUGGUCUAGGGGGCUUCCGAGGCGAUCGGGCAGUGUCAGUCUUCAGCCGCUAAGCCAAGAAGAUCUGGGAAGGAGUCAGAGAGCCUUGGGCCAGAGUUCCAGGGUCUCUGAGAGUGGCUGCCAGAAAAUGCUGCUAUGGCAUUCCCUGCAGUCCACGUUGCUAGGAGAGGAUGAAUUCAGGAGCUGUGGGCUUUCCAGACUUUCAGUCAGCCCCUGUCAACACCCCUUAAAUAACCAGUGGUAAACUGCCUGUCAGAAUGAUGGAGAGCCACUUGAUUCCCAUUUCCUUCUCUAGGGCACAGACUCUCACCUCAUUGCCAGGCUGGCAGGUCAUUCGUCCAGGCAUCAUAUGGCUAUAAAACCAGUGGUAUUCUUUUUAUUUGAAAUGGGGUGGUAGUAGUGGUGGUGGGGAGACAUAAAUCCUAAGUGGUUCACACAGGAUGCAAAGUGACACAAUUUGUGUGUAUGUAAGAGUGUAUAUGAGUUUGGGGGUGGGAGGGCCUUAUUUUGGGAGAAAAUUCUCCCAAAUGUUGGAGUAUUGGGGGCAAAAAUUCUGUUACUCUGAACAAUGUCUGCAUAACAGUGAAAAUCAGAGGACCGUAAGUAUUGAAAAGUACUGCCAAAAUAAUGGGGUUUGAAGGCAGAUGUGUAUUGAAAAACCCUGAAUGAGAAUAAGGGUGCUGCUGAAUCAGGAGGCAGAAAGGAGGGACUUUCAGCUGGUUCACAUGGAAGAGAUAUGAAAUGCUUUAGACAGUCUGGAAAGGUAGGAAGCAGAUGUGAAAUGAACAGGGGGCAACCUGUUGAGAGCUGUUUUGAGAACUGAGAGAACAGACAUCUCAGUAUGCCUCAAAUAUUGAGCUAGAAAAGAGGCAGCCUAAAGGAGCAUCUAACACAAGCCAAAACAAAACCAAAAUACCUUAAAUCAAGCCCAAAAAAAAAAGACAACAGGAAAGAACCUUCCUCCUGGAAAUAUAAAUGUGGUAGAGGGGUUAAUGAUGGUGCUGUAUAUCAGGAAUGGAAGGUAGGAGCAGCAGGAUUCAGAAUUCUUGGAGUAGAGGUUGAGUGAAGAAGUCAGCUCACUAAAGGGAACUAGAGUAAUGCUUGCAAGGACCUUGUCUGUUUCACAUGCUGGUUGUUCCAUGGUGGCAGAAGUGGGAUCUGAUGUUCUACAUCUUGCAUAACUAAAAAGGUAGCAUGCACUAAACUUGGAAAGAUCUUAAAUCUGUACCCUGAAAAUUAUCCCACAUUCGUGGAAAAAUUAGUAUGCCUAUUAGUAUUGUCACCAUGCAAGAACUGCACUGGCAAUGAAGACAGUGAUGUAAGAAGACAGAAGUGAGUCCAGACACAGGAUCCAUUGUCUAAGCAACUGAUGGGAGAAAUGGCUUCGUGACUGUCCUGAGGCAAUGGUGGUGAGGCAGGAAUUAAACACCUCCCAGGGAUGAAAUGGUGUCACCUUGUAUUGUGUUUCACCUUAAUUAUCUCCAUGAGAACUUCACACAUGUAUUAAAAAAACCCAACAUGACACAUUCGUAAGGUAGUUACUAUCUGUUGCAGAAUUUCAUGUAUUAUAUUUGUGCCCUAAGUUAGCCAUUAUUAUCCCAAUUUUAUAGUUAAGGGAAUGGAAACUCAAAAAACAUAUGGCUUGCUUACAGAGCUACACAACUUGUGGGAGAGGAGCUGGGAUUGGGACUCCAAUUUUGGGACUCUGUGUUCAUCAUGUUUUUUGGUCCCCCAUGUUCCCCUUCUUUAAAUGACUGAGUACAUGUCAUUUCAAAAACUUGUGGCCUUGGGCAAUGGCAGGCAGAAUAGGAAGUAAAUAUGUCUCAUUUUCCCUUUGUGAUUUCUCUAUGGUUCCAUAAAGAAAUAAACACAUUUAAAAGGUUAGCCAUUUGCCUUUGCCUG